AGAGAGCAGCGCUCUGCGGAACUGGGACUCUACCUUGGAGAGGGCGGGGCUGACAGUGGAGAGGUACCUUAUUUCACUGGUGAGGACACCAAAGCACCGAGAGACCAUCAGAUGUUCUCAAGACCAUAUAGCUGGCACAGGAUUCUAUCUACUCAUCACUAUGGCAUUUUAGGGCAAAGCUGUGAGACUUUGAACAGGUUACUGGACCUCUCUGAGCCCCUGGUUUCUCAUCUAUUAAAAAGGUAAUAAAGAUGCUGCUACUUGGCAAGGACUAAGCAGGCAGAAGGCCUCAGAAGAUGGAAGAAAGUCUGUUCCUGGCAGAGAAAACUAUGUUCAAAGGCUCUGCUCCUGAAAGAAUGGGGAGCUUCAGGGUUCUCUGGCCCCACAUCCUUCCGGCUCCGUUGCCUCCAGCGGGAACAACAGUGAUCAUGAUGUAAUGCUACGACCUACUUCACAGACUACUGCACGGCGCAGGAAACCGGCAAGCGAGGCGACUUUCCUGGAUACUCUGGAGCCACACCCACUGGGUCCCUGAGCCCCGCCUGCCCUGGGAAGCCGUCAGGCUCACAGUGGUUAACAAAGUUUCCAAAAAAUUUAAUUUUCACGAAAAGCUUGAAUUUAUUUUACCUUUAUUGUAUUUUUCCAUUACCACUUAGUCCCCUCGGACCCCCCCCUUCCCCCAGCAACCACCACACUGUUGUCCAUGUCCAUGAGUGAAAAUAUUGAAUUUUAUCAUUAGCAACAAUUCUGUCAGUUUACCUUGCAACGACAGACUUAUUUUAUUUAUUUUUGAGAAAAUGUCUGUCAAAUACGCAGUCUGUGUAGUCCCAAUUUAUCUGUCAAUAUUUCUUUCAAGUAAGAUGGUGCUCCAUGAAAAAAGUGGCCAGUUCAGCUCACGGUUCAACCAAUUGCAGAAACGCUUUCCCUGGAGAAGCCAUCGUGCUCUCAGCGGCAGAAGUGCCUGAUGACAAUUCCUGAUUUGUCACACGGAACAUUUAAAAGGUGUGCCAUUGGGAGUCAAUGUACAGUGCAUUAACUAAAUGUUACUGCUUCCCCAGUGGCUGUCUUGAGUGGCACCCACUGUGUUUCGCUGUGAGGGCAGGCAGCGGAGACUCUGAAGGCUCUGGCUCCGUUGGGGCCACCGCUGUGUUUCCUGCUGAGGUGCCUGUGGGUUCACCGCCGAGGCCUUUGCAUCGUCUGUGUGUGAAACGUUGCCCCAGCGAAGAGGGCCCAUGAUGCUUUUUUUUUUUUUAAUUUAAUUUAUUUAUCUUUAGAGGGGAAGGAAAGGAGAGAGAGAGAGAGAGAAAUAUCAAUGUAUGGUUGCUUCUAGUGCAUCCCCUGCUGGGAACUGGCCUGCAACCCAGGCAUGUGCCCUGACUGGGAAUCGAACCUGCAACUGUUUGGUGCAUGGGACAAUGCUCCAACCAACUGAGCCAGGGUGCGUCUUAC
Molecule: long non-coding RNA, 1449 nt
Organism: Artibeus jamaicensis (Jamaican fruit-eating bat)
Lineage: Eukaryota; Metazoa; Chordata; Mammalia; Chiroptera; Phyllostomidae
Exons: 4
Source: RefSeq, a predicted model, not a curated record